Molecule: small nucleolar RNA, 144 nt
Organism: Grammomys surdaster
Lineage: Eukaryota; Metazoa; Chordata; Mammalia; Rodentia; Muridae
Product: small nucleolar RNA SNORA48
Exons: 1
Source: RefSeq, a predicted model, not a curated record
CACCCCUGGCAAUGGGCAAAGAGAUACCUUGAUGGUGGUGGUAUUCUUAUAUCAGUCAGGGACAGAGCAGAUGGCAGUCUUUUGUUUAUACUAGCUUGAUGCCUGCCUUGGCAGCCAAAGCUGUUUUAUGCCUACAACACAUAA